AACUUUCGGCAAUGGAUCACUUGGUUCCCGCAUCGAUGAAGAACGCAGCGAAAUGCGAUAAGUAAUGUGAAUUGCAGAAUUCAGAGAAUCAUCGAAUCUUUGAACGCACAUUGCGCCCCCCGGUAUUCCGGGGGGCAUGCCUGUUCCAGCGUCAAUGAACCCACUCCCUCAGUACAGGUCUUCCUGCAAGUGGGGGGUCAUGCUGGAUGCCCACGCCGUGAAAAGUGCGGGCACCGCCCAAAUUCACAGUCCGCGUGCCCGAGGGUAGCGACCGACGUAGUGAGAUUCAAUCUCGUUGGCGAUGCGACCCCACAGAGGCAACGGGACCUUAAGCGCCAAGGCGCCAACUUCAAAACGGUUGAGCUCGGAUCAGGUAGGGAUACCCGCUGAACUUAAGCAUAUCAAUAAGCGGAGGCU
RNAcentral lists this unclassified non-coding RNA (417 nucleotides) under uncultured Hydnotrya. RNAcentral's name for it is "sequence contains ITS2". The stretch from base 1 to 154 matches the Rfam family "5.8S ribosomal RNA". The record is from RNAcentral. Lineage: Eukaryota; Fungi; Ascomycota; Pezizomycetes; Pezizales; Discinaceae.